AUGGCGCCGCCUCGCUCCACCGCCGCCCCUCCAAACCUCCCUAUCCCCGACCCUACGGCCGUCGACGAGUUCAAUCUGCAUCUGCUCCACGCGGCGAGCGAGGGCGACCUCCCGCUCUUAAAGGGGCUGGUGCGGGCGCUGGAGAAGAGCAGGCGGGAUCCCAGGGAGGUGCUGGAUGCGACCAGGGAGGAAGGCCUCGGGGCGCUGCACAUGGCCGCCAGAAUUGGGAGCGUGCCGGUGUGCAGGUACCUGGUCGAGGAGAUAAGGGUCGAUGUGGACGCCGACGGCGCUGAAUCCGUAACACCUCUGAUUUGCGCAAUGUUUGGUGGAAGCUUGGAUACUAUCCGCUAUCUUCUCGAUCAUGGGGCUAAUCCUGACAAAGUUAUCGGCGACUGCUUCACCCCGCUUCAUCAUGCCGCUGGAAUGGGAGACCGUGAAAUGGUGGAACUCUUGCUUACAAAAGGAGCUUCUGUUGACUCAGUAUCUGUCAGUGGGACACCAUUGCAUAUCGCUGCCUUCAGAGGGCAGGAUGAAGCUAUGCAAGUUUUAUUGGAGAACAACGCAGAUCAUAACAAGAUACUGCCUGGUAUUGACACCCCCCUUAUUUCUGCUAUAACUGCUUCCUCAGUGAAAUGUGUCAAGCUCCUGAUUGAGGCUGGUGCUGAUGUCAAUGACGGUCUUGUACCCCCUUUAGCUGCUGCUGCAGAUAAAGGCUUAACUGCAUGCUUGAAAUGCUUACUGGAAGCUGGUGCUGACCCUAAUGUUCCUGACCCCUCGGGUAGGCUGCCAAUAGAACUCGCUGCACUAAACGGUACAAGGGAAGAUGUUGAGAUCUUAUUCCCUGUAACUUCUUGUAUUCCAACUGUGCAUGAUUGGAGCAUCGACGGAAUAAUACACCAUGCAAAGUCAGUGUCUAUGAAACAGGGUGAUUAUUCAAAUCUAAGAAGAAUAGAAGAGCUGAAGUCACUUGGGGUUAAGUCUGUCAAGAGAAAUGAUUAUUCUACUGCGGCAACAAUGUAUAGUAUGGCAAUGGAGCAUGACCCUCAUGAUGCCACCUUGUUCUGGAACAGGAGCCUUUGCUGGCUCCGCAUGGGUGAUGGACACAAUGCUUUGCAGGAUGCCCUUGCGUGCAGAGAAAUGCGGCCUGGCUGGCCAAAGGCCUGCUACCGGCAGGGCGCAGCGCUCAUGUUAUUGAAGGACUACGGGGGUGCACGUGAUGCUUUUCUGGACGCAGCCAAGUUGGACCCGCAGAGCUCUGAGAUCAAGGCUGCGUUGCGGGAAGCUAUGAAUUCCUUGGAGAUAUCCCAUGGCGCAACAAAGACCACUUGA
This 1329-nucleotide ribosomal RNA is filed under the name Triticum aestivum (bread wheat). RNAcentral describes it as "partial small subunit ribosomal RNA". The record is from RNAcentral. Lineage: Eukaryota; Viridiplantae; Streptophyta; Magnoliopsida; Poales; Poaceae.